This 433-nucleotide ribosomal RNA is filed under the name uncultured bacterium. Its description in RNAcentral is "partial 16S ribosomal RNA". It matches the Rfam family "Bacterial small subunit ribosomal RNA", at positions 29 to 507 of the family's 1533-position model. The record is from RNAcentral.
AACGAACGCUGGCGGCAUGCCUAACACAUGCAAGUCGAACGAGACCUUCGGGUCUAGUGGCGCACGGGUGCGUAACGCGUGGGAACCUGCCCUUAGGUUCGGAAUAACUCCCCGAAAGGGGUGCUAAUACCGGAUAAUGUCUUCGGACCAAAGAUUUAUCGCCUUUGGAUGGGCCCGCGUUGGAUUAGCUAGUUGGUAGGGUAAAAGCCUACCAAGGCGACGAUCCAUAGCUGGUCUGAGAGGAUGAUCAGCCACUCUGGGACUGAGACACGGCCCAGACUCCUACGGGAGGCAGCAGUGGGGAAUAUUGGACAAUGGGCGAAAGCCUGAUCCAGCAAUGCCGCGUGAGUGAUGAAGGCCGUAGGGUUGUAAAGCUCUUUUACCCGGGAUGUUAAUGACAGUACCGGGAGAAUAAGCUCCGGCUAACUCCGUG